GACGAACGCUGGCGGCGUGCUUAACACAUGCAAGUCGAACGGAAAGGCCCUGCUUUUGUGGGGUGCUCGAGUGGCGAACGGGUGAGUAACACGUGAGUAACCUGCCCUUGACUUUGGGAUAACUUCAGGAAACUGGGGCUAAUACCGGAUAGGAGCUCCUGCUGCAUGGUGGGGGUUGGAAAGUUUCGGCGGUUGGGGAUGGACUCGCGGCUUAUCAGCUUGUUGGUGGGGUAGUGGCUUACCGAGGCUUUGACGGGUAGCCGGCCUGAGAGGGUGACCGGCCACAUUGGGACUGAGAUACGGCCCAGACUCCUACGGGAAGCAGCAGUGGGGAAUAUUGCACAAUGGGCGGAAGCCUGAUGCAGCAACGCCGCGUGCGGGAUGACGGCCUUCGGGUUGUAAACCGCUUUCGCCUGUGACGAAGCGUGAGUGACGGUAAUGGGUAAAGAAGCACCGGCUAACUACGUG
This 468-nucleotide ribosomal RNA is filed under the name uncultured bacterium. RNAcentral's name for it is "partial 16S ribosomal RNA". It matches the Rfam family "Bacterial small subunit ribosomal RNA", at positions 28 to 507 of the family's 1533-position model. The record is from RNAcentral.